AUUGAACGCUGGCGGCAGGCUUAACACAUGCAAGUCGAACGGUAACAUAAAGAAGCUUGCUUCUUUGAUGACGAGUGGCGGACGGGUGAGUAAUGCUUGGGAAUCUAGCUUAUGGAGGGGGAUAACUACGGGAAACUGUAGCUAAUACCGCGUAGAAUCGAGAGAUGAAAGUGUGGGACCUUCGGGCCACAUGCCAUAGGAUGAGCCCAAGUGGGAUUAGGUAGUUGGUGAGGUAAAGGCUCACCAAGCCGACGAUCUCUAGCUGGUCUGAGAGGAUGACCAGCCACACUGGGACUGAGACACGGCCCAGACUCCUACGGGAGGCAGCAGUGGGGAAUAUUGCGCAAUGGGGGCAACCCUGACGCAGCCCUGCCGCGUGAAUGAAGAAGGCCUUCGGGUUGUAAAGUUCUUUCGGUAGCGAGGAAGG
Molecule: ribosomal RNA, 427 nt
Filed under: Terrahaemophilus aromaticivorans
Lineage: Bacteria; Pseudomonadati; Pseudomonadota; Gammaproteobacteria; Pasteurellales; Pasteurellaceae
Description: bacterial SSU rRNA
Rfam family: Bacterial small subunit ribosomal RNA
Source: RNAcentral